Molecule: long non-coding RNA, 1267 nt
Organism: Aethina tumida (small hive beetle)
Lineage: Eukaryota; Metazoa; Arthropoda; Insecta; Coleoptera; Nitidulidae
Exons: 6
Source: RefSeq, a predicted model, not a curated record
AAAGAAAAAUAAUGUUUGAAAACCUUUCGGUAACCUGUCACCUUUCAGUGACAGCAGCUCAAAUUAUGCUUCCAAUUUAAUUAUCACCAGGCCCUAACAAACUUAUAUAUUUUUUUCAUGAAUCGUGCACUCAAAUUGGCGUUGCUCUUCGUAAAUGGUGUGGUUUUAGUGCAGUUUAUCAUUGUAAUUUUCGGAGCAAUAUAUUACAAGAACUUGGCUGCCGGCUUGAUCGGAUUGGCCGGAACGGCGAUAUCAGCUUUGGGCUUUUUCGGAACACUAUGGGAAAAUUCUGAGAUGUUAGUAUUCUAUGUGGUCAUGAUUGUCAUGUUUUUCUUCUGGGAGGGCUUCGUCAAGACUGCUCAGUCUGUCUAACAUAGGUUAAGGUUGUGCAUUUCCAAAUUUUUCGUGAUGGCCAAAUUCAGUGACAUAGUGCGUAUUUGCUUUUUGGGAUUUAACCUGCUGGUGAUGAUGAAGUGUUACUCUUCAAUGGACCAAAUCAAUGACACAGUAUCCAUGAUACAUUAUGGGCUGAUGUUCCUUUUAGGAUUUAUCGGGGCGUAUGCAGCUCUGGUUGAACAAAAAGCUGUUAUGUUGUCGUAUAUUGUUGUCUUCCUUUUGUGGUCCUUGCAGGAAGAAGGACACAAGGCACAGAUUGAGGCUAGCUAGAUUUCACCACGUCAUCAUACACAAACAAUAAUGCAACGUGAACGUAACUAUGAAUAUUCAUUGUGACUGACAACUGACAAUUCGAAUAAUGUAGAAAUGUUUUAUUAAAAAUUAAUGAUCCCCGUUACAAGUGUUUCGAUUUAUGACGUCCUGGCACUCAUUGCUUUAGUCAGCUCCUCUUCGGAAUUGUAGUGACAAUCUUUGGCGUUUUGGGCCUUAUAGCGUUUUAUACGGACAAUCCUUGUGUCAAAAUUUUGUGGGGCGCUGCUCUGGUCAUUUGUAUUUUUAUGAUUUAUGUGCAAGAUAUUUUAUAAAUUGUCAUGAAGACGUUCAAGAAGUUUGCAAAGUUCGUCAUGAUUUUGUACAACACUAUUCUGUUGAUCGUAGGACUUACCACUUUGAUUACACCCUCCGAGUACAUUGAAGACUUUCUGUUUAAGCUGCCGGUGGUCAUUUACAGUCUUUUGGGCCUUUACUCCGUGUUGUGCAAGAAGGUGUUCCCCGUUGUCAUGUACGCCACUUUAACUGUAUUUAUUGCUAUUGAUUUUUUGCUUUGGGAGGAUAUAUAGAUGCUCAAAAAUGUAAUAAAUAUUUGAUGUGA